GCCACCGCUUUGCUGGCGCGCACCCCAACGCCGCUGGGGCGUUGAAUAAGUUAUUCUGGUUCUUACUCUGCUCAGCAACAUUUACCAAAAUGAUGAGGCCCUUCCAGCUGGGCCCCUGAACUUCUGCCAGAUAAAGGCACUUCUCCACACCCAGGGAUCCAGUCAAGAUUCAAGCACCCCAACUCUGCCCUUGCUGAGCUCACACACAGAAUGCAACGCAAUGGCAGUGAGUUCUUCGGAGCGUGAGCAGAGGAUUUAUUUUGAAAACUGUCACUGUGCCGGGCGCCAAGGACAGAGCGGCCAGGUGAUGGAUGGAGAAACUGGGGUCUCCUAACGCUAAGGAUGUGCUGCAGGUGGAAGAGUUAGCAAGAGGCCCCAGUGAUGCCCGGGUCUGGACGGCUGAGUCAGAACAUGAGCCUUCCAACGCUUCAGCGCCGCGCAGCGAGCACCUGCUGUGCGCUGGGCCCUGCUGGCGAGACAGAUGGACAAGGGACUCGCUGCUCCC
Molecule: long non-coding RNA, 505 nt
Organism: Talpa occidentalis (Iberian mole)
Lineage: Eukaryota; Metazoa; Chordata; Mammalia; Eulipotyphla; Talpidae
Exons: 3
Source: RefSeq, a predicted model, not a curated record